Molecule: ribosomal RNA, 1944 nt
Filed under: Salmonella enterica
Lineage: Bacteria; Pseudomonadati; Pseudomonadota; Gammaproteobacteria; Enterobacterales; Enterobacteriaceae
Description: partial 23S ribosomal RNA
Rfam family: Bacterial large subunit ribosomal RNA
Source: RNAcentral
AGACCCGAAACCCGGUGAUCUAGCCAUGGGCAGGUUGAAGGUUGGGUAACACUAACUGGAGGACCGAACCGACUAAUGUUGAAAAAUUAGCGGAUGACCUGUGGCUGGGGGUGAAAGGCCAAUCAAACCGGGAGAUAGCUGGUUCUCCCCGAAAGCUAUUUAGGUAGCGCCUCGUGAACUCAUCUCCGGGGGUAGAGCACUGUUUCGGCUAGGGGGCCAUCCCGGCUUACCAACCCGAUGCAAACUGCGAAUACCGGAGAAUGUUAUCACGGGAGACACACGGCGGGUGCUAACGUCCGUCGUGAAGAGGGAAACAACCCAGACCGCCAGCUAAGGUCCCAAAGUCAUGGUUAAGUGGGAAACGAUGUGGGAAGGCCCAGACAGCCAGGAUGUUGGCUUAGAAGCAGCCAUCAUUUAAAGAAAGCGUAAUAGCUCACUGGUCGAGUCGGCCUGCGCGGAAGAUGUAACGGGGCUAAACCAUGCACCGAAGCUGCGGCAGCGACACUUUAGUGUUGUUGGGUAGGGGAGCGUUCUGUAAGCCGUUGAAGGUGUCCUGUGAGGGGUGCUGGAGGUAUCAGAAGUGCGAAUGCUGACAUAAGUAACGAUAAAGCGGGUGAAAAGCCCGCUCGCCGGAAGACCAAGGGUUCCUGUCCAACGUUAAUCGGGGCAGGGUGAGUCGACCCCUAAGGCGAGGCCGAAAGGCGUAGUCGAUGGGAAACGGGUUAAUAUUCCCGUACUUGGUGUUACUGCGAAGGGGGGACGGAGAAGGCUAUGUUGGCCGGGCGACGGUUGUCCCGGUUUAAGCGUGUAGGCUGGUUUUCCAGGCAAAUCCGGAAAAUCAAGGCUGAGGCGUGAUGACGAGGCACCACGGUGCUGAAGCAACAAAUGCCCUGCUUCCAGGAAAAGCCUCUAAGCAUCAGGUAACAUCAAAUCGUACCCCAAACCGACACAGGUGGUCAGGUAGAGAAUACCAAGGCGCUUGAGAGAACUCGGGUGAAGGAACUAGGCAAAAUGGUGCCGUAACUUCGGGAGAAGGCACGCUGACACGUAGGUGAAGUGAUUUACUCAUGGAGCUGAAGUCAGUCGAAGAUACCAGCUGGCUGCAACUGUUUAUUAAAAACACAGCACUGUGCAAACACGAAAGUGGACGUAUACGGUGUGACGCCUGCCCGGUGCCGGAAGGUUAAUUGAUGGGGUCAGCGCAAGCGAAGCUCCUGAUCGAAGCCCCGGUAAACGGCGGCCGUAACUAUAACGGUCCUAAGGUAGCGAAAUUCCUUGUCGGGUAAGUUCCGACCUGCACGAAUGGCGUAAUGAUGGCCAGGCUGUCUCCACCCGAGACUCAGUGAAAUUGAACUCGCUGUGAAGAUGCAGUGUACCCGCGGCAAGACGGAAAGACCCCGUGAACCUUUACUAUAGCUUGACACUGAACAUUGAGCCUUGAUGUGUAGGAUAGGUGGGAGGCUUUGAAGCGUGGACGCCAGUCUGCGUGGAGCCGACCUUGAAAUACCACCCUUUAAUGUUUGAUGUUCUAACGUGGACCCGUAAUCCGGGUUGCGGACAGUGUCUGGUGGGUAGUUUGACUGGGGCGGUCUCCUCCUAAAGAGUAACGGAGGAGCACGAAGGUUGGCUAAUCCUGGUCGGACAUCAGGAGGUUAGUGCAAUGGCAUAAGCCAGCUUGACUGCGAGCGUGACGGCGCGAGCAGGUGCGAAAGCAGGUCAUAGUGAUCCGGUGGUUCUGAAUGGAAGGGCCAUCGCUCAACGGAUAAAAGGUACUCCGGGGAUAACAGGCUGAUACCGCCCAAGAGUUCAUAUCGACGGCGGUGUUUGGCACCUCGAUGUCGGCUCAUCACAUCCUGGGGCUGAAGUAGGUCCCAAGGGUAUGGCUGUUCGCCAUUUAAAGUGGUACGCGAGCUGGGUUUAGAACGUCGUGAGACAGUUCGGUCC